Molecule: transfer RNA, 75 nt
Filed under: compost metagenome
Description: tRNA-Ala
Rfam family: tRNA
About the family: Transfer RNA (tRNA) molecules are approximately 80 nucleotides in length. Their secondary structure includes four short double-helical elements and three loops (D, anti-codon, and T loops).
Source: RNAcentral
GGGCGAUUAGUUUAAUCGGGAAAAUCCUUGAUUUGCAAUCAAGACUAGUGGGUUCGAUUCCCUCAUUGUCCACCA